RNAcentral lists this long non-coding RNA (255 nucleotides) under Gorilla gorilla gorilla (western lowland gorilla). RNAcentral describes it as "lncRNA (ENSGGOG00000044286.1)". The record is from RNAcentral. Lineage: Eukaryota; Metazoa; Chordata; Mammalia; Primates; Hominidae.
GCAUGAGUCAUAUCAGAAAAUAUGAGAAAUCAACAUCCUGAAAUAACUUGAAUUGAGAUUUGUUUAAUGGUAGGAUGGAGCAGUAUCUCACAAAGUGAAAGCUUUUUAUUAACACUGAAGAAAAUACAACCAUCAUCAGACUUCGCAAUUAUAAGCUAUUCCUUAAGCCACAGAAAGAAGUGAAGAAAGGAAGAGGGGAAGACAGAAAGAAAACAAUUAUCACUUGGUUUAGUGACCACGUGUGUUGAGGACAGG